AGAGUUUGAUCCUGGCUCAGAUUGAACGCUGGCGGCAUGCCUUACACAUGCAAGUCGAACGGCAGCACGAGAGCUUGCUCUUGGUGGCGAGUGGCGAACGGGUGAGUAAUAUAUCGGAACGUACCCUAGAGUGGGGGAUAACGUAGCGAAAGUUACGCUAAUACCGCAUACGAUCUACGGAUGAAAGUGGGGGAUCGCAAGACCUCAUGCUCAUGGAGCGGCCGAUAUCUGAUUAGCUAGUUGGUGGGGUAAAAGCUCACCAAGGCGACGAUCGGUAGCUGGUCUGAGAGGACGACCAGCCACACUGGAACUGAGACACGGUCCAGACUCCUACGGGAGGCAGCAGUGGGGAAUUUUGGACAAUGGGCGCAAGCCUGAUCCAGCAAUGCCGCGUGAGUGAAGAAGGCCUUCGGGUUGUAAAGCUCUUUUGUCAGGGAAGAAACGGUGGACUCUAAUACAGAUCACUAAUGACGGUACCUGAAGAAUAAGCACCGGCUAACUACGUGCCAGCAGCCGCGGUAAUACGUAGGGUGCAAGCGUUAAUCGGAAUUACUGGGCGUAAAGCGUGCGCAGGCGGUUGUGCAAGACAGAUGUGAAAUCCCCGGGCUCAACCUGGGAAUUGCAUUUGUGACUGCACGGCUAGAGUGUGUCAGAGGGGGGUAGAAUUCCACGUGUAGUAGUGAAAUGCGUAGAGAUGUGGAGGAAUACCGAUGGCGAAGGCAGCCCCCUGGGAUAACACUGACGCUCAUGCACGAAAGCGUGGGGAGCAAACAGGAUUAGAUACCCUGGUAGUCCACGCCCUAAACGAUGUCUACUAGUUGUCGGGUCUUAAUUGACUUGGUAACGCAGCUAACGCGUGAAGUAGACCGCCUGGGGAGUACGGUCGCAAGAUUAAAACUCAAAGGAAUUGACGGGGACCCGCACAAGCGGUGGAUGAUGUGGAUUAAUUCGAUGCAACGCGAAAAACCUUACCUACCCUUGACAUGUCUGGAAUCCUUGAGAGAUCAGGGAGUGCUCGAAAGAGAAUCAGAACACAGGUGCUGCAUGGCUGUCGUCAGCUCGUGUCGUGAGAUGUUGGGUUAAGUCCCGCAACGAGCGCAACCCUUGUCAUUAGUUGCUACGAAAGGGCACUCUAAUGAGACUGCCGGUGACAAACCGGAGGAAGGUGGGGAUGACGUCAAGUCCUCAUGGCCCUUAUGGGUAGGGCUUCACACGUCAUACAAUGGUACAUACAGAGGGCCGCCAACCCGCGAGGGGGAGCUAAUCCCAGAAAGUGUAUCGUAGUCCGGAUUGUAGUCUGCAACUCGACUACAUGAAGUUGGAAUCGCUAGUAAUCGCGGAUCAGCAUGUCGCGGUGAAUACGUUCCCGGGUCUUGUACACACCGCCCGUCACACCAUGGGAGCGGGUUUCACCAGAAGUGGGUAGCCUAACCGCAAGGAGGGCGCUCACCACGGUGGGAUUCGUGACUGGGGUGAAGUCGUAACAAGGUA
Molecule: ribosomal RNA, 1491 nt
Filed under: metagenome
Description: bacterial SSU rRNA
Rfam family: Bacterial small subunit ribosomal RNA
Source: RNAcentral